Molecule: ribosomal RNA, 850 nt
Filed under: uncultured Gammaproteobacteria bacterium
Lineage: Bacteria; Pseudomonadati; Pseudomonadota; Gammaproteobacteria
Description: bacterial SSU rRNA
Rfam family: Bacterial small subunit ribosomal RNA
Source: RNAcentral
AGAGUUUGAUCAUGGCUCAGAUUGAACGCUGGCGGCAGGCUUAACACAUGCAAGUCGAGCGGAGAUGAGGUGCUUGCACCUUAUCUUAGCGGCGGACGGGUGAGUAAUGCUUAGGAAUCUGCCUAUUAGUGGGGGACAACAUUUCGAAAGGAAUGCUAAUACCGCAUACGCCCUACGGGGGAAAGCAGGGGAUCUUCGGACCUUGCGCUAAUAGAUGAGCCUAAGUCGGAUUAGCUAGUUGGUGGGGUAAAGGCCUACCAAGGCGACGAUCUGUAGCGGGUCUGAGAGGAUGAUCCGCCACACUGGGACUGAGACACGGCCCAGACUCCUACGGGAGGCAGCAGUGGGGAAUAUUGGACAAUGGGGGGAACCCUGAUCCAGCCAUGCCGCGUGUGUGAAGAAGGCCUUUUGGUUGUAAAGCACUUUAAGCGAGGAGGAGGAGCUCUAGAUUAAUACUCUAGAUGCUUGGACGUUACUCGCAGAAUAAGCACCGGCUAACUCUGUGCCAGCAGCCGCGGUAAUACAGAGGGUGCAAGCGUUAAUCGGAUUUACUGGGCGUAAAGCGUGCGUAGGUGGUCUUUUAAGUCGGAUGUGAAAUCCCUGAGCUUAACUUAGGAAUUGCAUUCGAUACUGGGAGACUAGAGUAUGGGAGAGGAUGGUAGAAUUCCAGGUGUAGCGGUGAAAUGCGUAGAGAUCUGGAGGAAUACCGAUGGCGAAGGCAGCCAUCUGGCCUAAUACUGACACUGAGGUACGAAAGCAUGGGGAGCAAACAGGAUUAGAUACCCUGGUAGUCCAUGCCGUAAACGAUGUCUACUAGCCGUUGGGGUCUUUGAGACUUUAGUGGCGCAGC